AAUAGAUACCCGGGUAGUCCACGCCGUAAACGAUGAGUGCUAGGUGUCACGGGCUUUGACCCUCGUGGUGCCGAAGCUAACGCGUUAAGCACUCCGCCUGGGGAGUACGGUCGCAAGACUAAAACUCAAAGAAAUUGACGGGGGCCCGCACAAGCGGUGGAGCAUGUGGUUUAAUUCGAAGCAACGCGAAGAACCUUACCAGGUCUUGACAUCCUCUGACACUCCUAGAGAUAGGACGUUCCCCUUCGGGGGACAGAGUGACAGGUGGUGCAUGGUUGUCGUCAGCUCGUGUCGUGAGAUGUUGGGUUAAGUCCCGCAACGAGCGCAACCCUUGAUCUUAGUUGCCAGCAUUCAGUUGGGCACUCUAAGGUGACUGCCGGUGACAAACCGGAGGAAGGUGGGGAUGACGUCAAAUCAUCAUGCCCCUUAUGACCUGGGCUACACACGUGCCACAAUGGAUGGUACAAAGGGCUGCAAAACCGCAAGGUCUAGCCAAUCCCAUAAAACCAUUCUCAGUUCGGAUUGUAGGCUGCAACC
Molecule: ribosomal RNA, 537 nt
Filed under: uncultured bacterium
Lineage: Bacteria
Description: bacterial SSU rRNA
Rfam family: Bacterial small subunit ribosomal RNA
Source: RNAcentral